CACCAGCUGACGAGUCUCGGAUAGAACGAAAUGCGUAUCCUGGUG
RNAcentral lists this non-coding RNA (45 nucleotides) under Trichobilharzia regenti. Lineage: Eukaryota; Metazoa; Platyhelminthes; Trematoda; Strigeidida; Schistosomatidae. The record is from RNAcentral.